This 548-nucleotide ribosomal RNA is filed under the name Trigonopterus sp. 653 AR-2022a. Its description in RNAcentral is "partial large subunit ribosomal RNA". It matches the Rfam family "Bacterial large subunit ribosomal RNA", at positions 1828 to 2625 of the family's 2925-position model. Lineage: Eukaryota; Metazoa; Arthropoda; Insecta; Coleoptera; Curculionidae. The record is from RNAcentral.
GGCUUGAUGAGUAUGAUUCCAGGUUGUACCUGCCCAAUGAGUGUUUAAAUGGCCGCGGUACACUGACCGUGCAAAGGUAGCAUAAUCACUAGUUUUUUAAUUGGAAGCUGGAAUGAAAGGUUUGAUGAGAAAAUGGCUGUCUCUAAUGAAUUUAUUUAGAAUUUUAUUUUUAAGUGAAAAAGCUUAAAUUUUUAUAAAAGACGAGAAGACCCUAUAGAGUUUUAUAUUUAAAGAAAAUAAGUAAGAGUGGAGGAAAAUAAAAUUAAACUUUUUUAUUUUUUGAGAGUAUUUUGUUGGGGUGAUAGGAAAAUUGAAACAACUUUUCUUGGAAAUAGAACGUUUUGAUUAACGAGUAAAUGAUCCUUAGUUUAAGAUUAGAAGAUUAAAUUACCUUAGGGAUAACAGCGUAAUUUUUUAAAGAGUUCUUAUCGGAAAAAAAGUUUGCGACCUCGAUGUUGGAUUAAAAUUUAUUGUUGGUGAAGAGGCUAAUGAAUUAGGUCUGUUCGACCUUUUAAAUUUUACAUGAUCUGAGUUUAAACCGGCGUGAG